GUGAGGAAUUUUCCGCAAUGGGCGAAAGCCUGACGGAGCAAUGCCGCGUGAAGAAUGAAGGCCUAUGGGUUGUAAACUUCUUUUCUCAGAAAAGAAUUAUGACGGUAUCUGAGGAAUAAGCAUCGGCUAACUCUGUGCCAGCAGCCGCGGUAAGACAGAGGAUGCAAGCGUUAUCCGGAAUGAUUGGGCGUAAAGCGUCUGUAGGUUGUUUAAAAAGUAUUCUGUCAAAGAUUAGGGCUUAACCCUAGAUAGGCAGAAUAAACUUUUAAGCUAGAGUUUGGUAGAGGCAGAGAGAAUUCCCGGUGGAGCGGUGAAAUGCGUAGAUAUCGGGAGGAACACCAAAGGCGAAGGCACUCUGCUGGGCCAAUACUAACACUGAGAGACGAAAGCGAGGGGAGCAAAUGGGAUUAGAAACCCCAGUAGUCC
RNAcentral lists this ribosomal RNA (426 nucleotides) under uncultured bacterium. RNAcentral describes it as "partial 16S ribosomal RNA". It matches the Rfam family "Bacterial small subunit ribosomal RNA", at positions 354 to 796 of the family's 1533-position model. The record is from RNAcentral.